ACGAACGCUGGCGGCGUGCUUAACACAUGCAAGUCGAACGGAAAGGCCCUGCUUUUGUGGGGCGCUCGAGUGGCGAACGGGUGAGUAACACGUGAGUAACCUGCCCUUGACUUUGGGAUAACUUCAGGAAACUGGGGCUAAUACCGGAUAGGAGCUCCUGCUGCAUGGUGGGGGUUGGAAAGUUUCGGCGGUUGGGGAUGGACUCGCGGCUUAUCAGCUUGUUGGUGGGGUAGUGGCUUACUAAGGCUUUGACGGGUAGCCGGCCUGAGAGGGUGACCGGCCACAUUGGGACUGAGAUACGGCCCAGACUCCUACGGGAGGCAGCAGUGGGGAAUAUUGCACAAUGGGCGGAAGCCUGAUGCAGCAACGCCGCGUGCGGGAUGACGGCCUUCGGGUUGUAAACCGCUUUCGCCUGUGACGAAGCGUGAGUGACGGUAAUGGGUAAAGAAGCACCGGCUAACUACGUG
Molecule: ribosomal RNA, 467 nt
Filed under: uncultured bacterium
Lineage: Bacteria
Description: partial 16S ribosomal RNA
Rfam family: Bacterial small subunit ribosomal RNA
Source: RNAcentral